UUUAUGGAGAGUUUGAUCCUGGCUCAGGAUGAACGCUGGCGGCGUGCCUAAUACAUGCAAGUCGAGCGAACGGACGAGAAGCUUGCUUCUCUGAUGUUAGCGGCGGACGGGUGAGUAACACGUGGAUAACCUACCUAUAAGACUGGGAUAACUUCGGGAAACCGGAGCUAAUACCGGAUAAUAUUUUGAACCGCAUGGUUCAAAAGUGAAAGACGGUCUUGCUGUCACUUAUAGAUGGAUCCGCGCUGCAUUAGCUAGUUGGUAAGGUAACGGCUUACCAAGGCAACGAUGCAUAGCCGACCUGAGAGGGUGAUCGGCCACACUGGAACUGAGACACGGUCCAGACUCCUACGGGAGGCAGCAGUAGGGAAUCUUCCGCAAUGGGCGAAAGCCUGACGGAGCAACGCCGCGUGAGUGAUGAAGGUCUUCGGAUCGUAAAACUCUGUUAUUAGGGAAGAACAUAUGUGUAAGUAACUGUGCACAUCUUGACGGUACCUAAUCAGAAAGCCACGGCUAACUACGUGCCAGCAGCCGCGGUAAUACGUAGGUGGCAAGCGUUAUCCGGAAUUAUUGGGCGUAAAGCGCGCGUAGGCGGUUUUUUAAGUCUGAUGUGAAAGCCCACGGCUCAACCGUGGAGGGUCAUUGGAAACUGGAAAACUUGAGUGCAGAAGAGGAAAGUGGAAUUCCAUGUGUAGCGGUGAAAUGCGCAGAGAUAUGGAGGAACACCAGUGGCGAAGGCGACUUUCUGGUCUGUAACUGACGCUGAUGU
Molecule: ribosomal RNA, 769 nt
Filed under: Staphylococcus aureus
Lineage: Bacteria; Bacillati; Bacillota; Bacilli; Caryophanales; Staphylococcaceae
Description: bacterial SSU rRNA
Rfam family: Bacterial small subunit ribosomal RNA
Source: RNAcentral